UGGGGGAUAUUGCGCAAUGGGGGGAACCCUGACGCAGCAACGCCGCGUGAAGGAAGAAGGUCUUCGGAUCGUAAACUUCUGUCUUCAGGGACGAAAACUGACGGUACCUGAGGAGGAAGCCACGGCUAACUACGUGCCAGCAGCCGCGGUAAUACGUAGGUGGCAAGCGUUAUCCGGAUUUACUGGGUGUAAAGGGAGCGUAGACGGCAAUGCAAGUCUGAAGUGAAAGGCCGGGGCUCAACCCCGGGACUGCUUUGGAAACUGUGUAGCUGGAGUACAGGAGAGGUAAGUGGAAUUCCUAGUGUAGCGGUGAAAUGCGUAGAUAUUAGGAGGAACACCAGUGGCGAAGGCGGCUUACUGGACUGUAACUGACGUUGAGGCUCGAAAGCGUGGGGAGCAAACAGGAUUAGAUACCCUGGUAGU
This 423-nucleotide ribosomal RNA is filed under the name uncultured Clostridium sp. RNAcentral's name for it is "bacterial SSU rRNA". It matches the Rfam family "Bacterial small subunit ribosomal RNA", at positions 355 to 794 of the family's 1533-position model. Lineage: Bacteria; Bacillati; Bacillota; Clostridia; Eubacteriales; Clostridiaceae. The record is from RNAcentral.